RNAcentral lists this ribosomal RNA (875 nucleotides) under Byrsonima morii. Its description in RNAcentral is "eukaryotic LSU rRNA". The stretch from base 395 to 550 matches the Rfam family "5.8S ribosomal RNA". The record is from RNAcentral. Lineage: Eukaryota; Viridiplantae; Streptophyta; Magnoliopsida; Malpighiales; Malpighiaceae.
GGUCCGGUGAAGUGUUCGGAUCGCGGCGACGUGAGCGGUUCGCCGCCCGCGACGUCGCGAGAAGUCCACUGAACCUUAUCAUUUAGAGGAAGGAGAAGUCGUAACAAGGUUUCCGUAGGUGAACCUGCGGAAGGAUCAUUGUCGAAACCUGCCCAGCAGAACGACUCGCGAACCGUGGUUACAUUGCGCCGAGGGGCGACGGGGCCACUGCCCCCCGCCGUUCGGCAAAAGUCCCGGGAGGCACCGGAGGCAAACGCCUCGGGCGCCCGACGGGACUCACAACCAAACCCCGGCGCAGAACGCGCCAAGGAAAACGAAAUCGAGGAGGAUCGUCCCUGCGCUCCCGGAGACGGCGCGCGCUCGGACGGUCCGCCGGACAGUCACGAAUCAAAACGACUCUCGGCAACGGAUAUCUCGGCUCUCGCAUCGAUGAAGAACGUAGCAAAAUGCGAUACUUGGUGUGAAUUGCAGAAUCCCGUGAACCAUCGAGUCUUUGAACGCAAGUUGCGCCCGAAGCCUUCUGGCCGAGGGCACGUCUGCCUGGGUGUCACACAACGUUGUCCCACCACAAACCCAUCCCGAGAGGGAAGGGAGGGACGGAUGCUGGUCUCCCGUGAGUCCCCCCUCGCGGCUGGCCCAAACGCAUGUCCGCGAGACGGGAGCCGCGACUAACGGUGGUUGAACGACCCUCGGCUCAGGUCGUGGCCUCCCGUCCCGAGAGCGGCCAACAAGACCCCGCGCGUCGCUUGGAACGCCACAACUGCGACCCCAGGUCAGGCGGGACUACCCGCUGAGUUUAAGCAUAUCAAUAAGCGGAGGAAAAGAAACUUACCAGGAUUCCCCUAGUAACGGCGAGCGAACCGGGGAAUUUCUAA